ACGUAGGGUGCGAGCGUUGUCCGGAAUUAUUGGGCGUAAAGAGCUCGUAGGCGGUCUGUCGCGUCGAAUGUGAAAUCCCCGGGCUCAACCUGGGAAUGGCAUUUGGGACUGCAAGGCUGGAGUUUGGCAGAGGAGACUGGAAUUCCCGGUGUAGCAGUGAAAUGCGUAGAUAUCGGGAGGAAUACCGAUGGCGAAGGCAGGUCUCUGGGCUAUAACUGACGCUCAUGCACGUAAGCGUGGGGAGCAAACAGGA
This 253-nucleotide ribosomal RNA is filed under the name uncultured prokaryote. Its description in RNAcentral is "partial 16S ribosomal RNA". It matches the Rfam family "Bacterial small subunit ribosomal RNA", at positions 525 to 777 of the family's 1533-position model. The record is from RNAcentral.